Tachysurus fulvidraco (yellow catfish) is the source of this 164-nucleotide small nuclear RNA. RefSeq annotates it as U1 spliceosomal RNA. The record is from RefSeq and is a predicted model, not a curated record. The transcript has a single exon. Lineage: Eukaryota; Metazoa; Chordata; Actinopteri; Siluriformes; Bagridae.
GUACUUUCCUUCCAGGGGCAAUACCAUGAUCAAGGAGGUGUUUUGCAUGAAACAAGGCUCAGCUAUUGCACUAAGGCUGUGCUAAUCUUUGUGAAUACCCCAAAUGCAGGAAUCUCGACUGCUUAAUUUCUGAUAUUGAGGGACUGCAUUCACGCUCUCCCCUU